Molecule: ribosomal RNA, 445 nt
Filed under: uncultured bacterium
Lineage: Bacteria
Description: partial 16S ribosomal RNA
Rfam family: Bacterial small subunit ribosomal RNA
Source: RNAcentral
GUAAGGAAUAUUGGACAAUGGACGCAAGUCUGAUCCAGCCAUGCCGCGUGAAGGAUUAAGGUCCUCUGGAUUGUAAACUUCUUUUAUAAGGGACGAAAAAAGGCUUUUCUAAGUCGUCUGACGGUACCUUAUGAAUAAGCACUGGCUAACUCCGUGCCAGCAGCCGCGGUAAUACGGAGGGUGCAAGCGUUAUCCGGAUUCACUGGGGUUAAAGGGUGCGUAGGCGGGCAGGUAAGUCAGUGGUGAAAUCCUAGAGCUUAACUCUAGAACUGCCAUUGAUACUAUCUGUCUUGAAUAUUGUGGAGGUAAGCGGAAUAUGUCAUGUAGCGGUGAAAUGCUUAGAUAUGACAUAGAACACCUAUUGCGAAGGCAGCUUACUACGCAUAUAUUGACGCUGAGGCACGAAAGCGUGGGGAUCAAACAGGAUUAGAAACCCUAGUAGUCC